This 175-nucleotide ribosomal RNA is filed under the name uncultured bacterium. RNAcentral describes it as "partial 16S ribosomal RNA". It matches the Rfam family "Bacterial small subunit ribosomal RNA", at positions 10 to 184 of the family's 1533-position model. The record is from RNAcentral.
AGUUUGAUCAUGGCUCAGAACCAACGUUAGUAGCGCGCUUAACACAUGCAAGUCGAACGAGAAAGGGCUACGGCCCCGGGUACAGUGGCGCACGGGUGAGUAACACGUAGGUAAUCUACCCUCGAGUGGUGGAUAACAUCCCGAAAGGGGUGCUAAUACAGGCAUAAGACCACGG